AGUUACAUAAGGAACAUGUGCAUUAAAUUCACAGGUUGAAUAAAUGUUUCUAUAGAGGUGGACAAGUUAUCACCAUCCGGUGAUAACCGACCGAUCCGAUGCUUCCGUUUUGCAUUCGUUCGGAUUUAAACGGUUUUCGGAUUGUAUCGGGUGAUUAUUUUGGAUACAAUAGAGUUGAGCCGGUUCGGUUCGGAUGAUUAUUUUGGGUCCGUCGGAAACCGAACCCGACCAAACUUAAUUAUUAAAUAUUAUUUAUAUAAUUAACAGCCUGGCUAUAAAUCCUUUUCUUGUUUCAUUCUUCACUGCUUUCUCAGUCUCCCCAAACCCUAAUUUUUCAUUCUUCACUUUCUCAGCCUCCCCUCACAUAGAAAUCCUAAUACACUUCUCUCUCACUUUCUUUCUUGUCCUCUCUGCCGCUUCCAUAACCAUUCGUUGUUUCACUUUCAUCUUCCUCUAUCAUCUUUCAUCGUUGCUUCACCAUCUACUCAUCUUCAUCUCAGAUUUGUUUUCAUUGAGUAGAUUUGAUGCUUCUAAAGAUCUGGACAAGGAAAUGAACUAUUUGUUGGUGUUGAAUCUCGGUUUUUGAUCUGGAUAGCAAAAUAAACUAUAAUACAAAGCGGAGAUUGAAGUGAUGAGAGCUAACGAGUCCAACACUAUGUUCAUCAAUUUCGAGCAUGUUAUCAGAUCCAACGAUCUUCUUUAGAUGAAUAUUUGAGGUUUGAACCUUAUCUGUCAAGAGGUUAAGAGAGUUCUCUACAUUAGAAAUUGGAAGGCUUGUAUCUGUUAUAGGAGUGGUAACAGGGACAAGUGAGGUUCGACCUGAGCUUCACCAAGGAACUUUCAAGUAUCUGGAAUGUGGCGGGGUUAUAAAAAAUGUUGAACAACAAUUCAAGUUACCAUGAAGUUUGAUUCUUUGGUCAUGGUAGUUUGAUUCUUGGGUCAUGGAUCUUGUUGUGAUAUGAUUAAUACUAUCAGAGGAAACGAUAAAGAAGGUUUCUCAAAGAAAUUUCCAAAUACAAGGCAUAAGCCCUUCAAGGUAUACAAAUAUUGUUCUAUGAGUUGAUUUCUCUUCGGAUCUCUUGAACAAAUAUAACGUUUCAAUUUGGUUGCUUUUAGGCCCUCCAGGUUCUGGAAAAAUCACACUCUAUGGUAUUGGCUUGGCUGAAAAACUUGAUCUAAAUUAGAACAAAUAAGAGAAUACACACACUUCUUAUAUCAUCUAUUUUUUCAUGUUUUAGUUCUAGCUUGAUAUUAAUCAUAAAAUAAAUUGAAAAGAUGCAUAAGUAUUCUAGCAGAUUUAUCCAGAAAAGAAAAACAUGCAAAUAUCAGUCUGAUCUAAAUUUAAACACAUGAAGGUAAUAUAGAGGUUUCUUUAUACUUUGAGGGUCAUCUAUUUUUUUCUCAUACAAAUAGAAAAGAUUGAUAAUAAAAUGGUUGUCCUUUUGAUAAUACAAUGCAGACUGUUGCAGCUGAAGGGCAGAAAACAAAUUUGAUAACAAACUAUUUUAAGGUCUUAAUGUGAUUCUCCUUAUUUUUCUUUAAUAUUUAUUGAUAAUUUCUUUGAUGUUACAGGAUGUGAAAUAAUUCAAAGAUUCGAGAGAUCGGUGGAUUCACACUUAUUUAGAUAAUUUGUAAUUUGUAUUGAUUGUGGUUGAAUUAUAUCUUAUUAAAUGUGAUUUAUGUUAUUUGAAAAUUAAGUUAAGGAUUUAUUUUAUUUUUGAAUUUGAAUGAUUUAGAUUCCAAUUUCAUUGAAAAAGUAAUAAAUAUUAGUUCAGUUUUGAAAGAUUAAAUUUCUACAAAUAACUCAAUUUUUUAAAACAAAAUUAAGUCAUUUAUAUUUACAAUAUAUAAAAAAAAAAAAAAAAAUAUUAAUGAUCCAAUAACAAACCCAAAAAAUAAUCUGUAUUCUGGGCUUUGAUGUCAAACAGAUGGACUAAAAUGUGACUGAUUUUAAAAUUGGGCUUAAAUUUUCAAUUGGUCCAAUAAGUAUACUAUCCGGAAAAAACCGAAUUAAUUAACCGAACCCGAUUUAAACCGGACCCGAGAAAACCGAAAAAAACUGGUCGGAAUUUGGGCCUGUCUUUUUCACCCGAGGGUAAGAACGGUUUUGGAUUUUGGGCCCGAAUCCGAUCCGGCCCGAUCCGAUGCCCAGCCCUAGUUUCUACAACAACGACUUUCACAUGUUCCACACGCCUAAGGGAUGAAGACAACACACUUAGCUAGGCGCAAAAGUACAUCUACUAAAUUGAGACAUCAUCUGAGUUGUUGGAUGGAACUUUUAAGCUUCUAAUGGAUCUUCGUCGUUAAACGUAGCACCUAGUUUGCAUAGAAACCGGGAACUUUCCAUU
Vicia villosa (hairy vetch) is the source of this 2348-nucleotide long non-coding RNA. RefSeq lists it as uncharacterized. The record is from RefSeq and is a predicted model, not a curated record. The transcript has 5 exons. Lineage: Eukaryota; Viridiplantae; Streptophyta; Magnoliopsida; Fabales; Fabaceae.